AUGGCGAUGUAUAAGAAGAUUUACAAGGGGGAAUACCGGUGCCCUAAAUGGAUGUCGCCGGAUCUCAAGAGAUUUCUGUCGCGACUUCUCGAUACGAAUCCCGAAACGAGGAUAACCAUUGAAGAGAUUCUAAGUGAUCCAUGGUUCAGAAAGGGGGGAAAUACAGAGAUCAAUUUCUACGAUGAUUACGAGAUGAAAUCGGAAGAGAAGGACGAAUCAUCGUCGACGAAUUUGAACGCAUUCGACAUUAUAUCUUUCUCCUCAGGAUUGGAUCUCUCUGGUUUAUUCGACAAUUCACAUAACGCAGUGGACGACAGUGAGCGAUUCAUAUCGGCAGA
Molecule: unclassified non-coding RNA, 338 nt
Filed under: Hevea brasiliensis (rubber tree)
Lineage: Eukaryota; Viridiplantae; Streptophyta; Magnoliopsida; Malpighiales; Euphorbiaceae
Source: RNAcentral